CGGUGAUUCGGCCCUCGUGCAGCUCCAUGGAGGAGGGGGUGGAGACAGACAGAGUGGUGGCAGGGAGAGGCCCCGGGAGCAGGCGCGUGGUGUUGCUGAACAGAUUUGGAGAUUGAGAGAAGACAUGCCAACUCCAUAAAACUAAAAAGCAUCAAGGUCAACUGAACCAUGAGAAGUAAGCUUUUGGCAGAGGAAGCCGUAAUCUGUUACUUUACACAUAACCUAAAUAGGUACCAAUGCUUUGUGUCCACCCCCUUGAAACUCCUGAAUGAGAAGGAUGUUCUUCUCUUAAGAUCAAGAAAUCACGUACUUCUUUCUCCAUGAACAAAACAAAACAAAACAAAAACAGAGAGAAGUGGACCGAUCCCCCAGGUUUCUUCUUGAGGAUUGGCUGAACCUGCUGGAAUGUUUACAGACCCUUCAGAGAUAGCUUAGUGAUGGUGGACUUUUCCAGAAAUACUGUGAAAUGAAGGCUGCAUGGAAUUCCGAGCUUGAAGGACAAUACAUUUUCUUUGUUCUGUCAUUUACAUAAAUCUUGAACUAUUAAUGUUCUUAUUUAAUUUUUUUCUUCUUCCUGUAGGCUUUAAAUAGACAAAGACAGUAAAGCCUGUUAUUUGGUUAUCCUCAUACAUCUGAAGCUUCUGUAUAUGCUUAAAUAUUGUGGUAGAUGCCGAGAAGAACGUCUGCUCUUUAAUAUUACCAACAUUUUAAAGAUUGUAGAGCUAUUAAGUACAGUGGAAUUUUUACUCAGCAGUGAGCCUCCCACAUAAUUUUUCAGACAUAUGCCAUAUAGCAAAAAUUUCUAGAAUAUUAUUGUUCACAAGAACUUCUGAAAUAAAUAUUAUGAGACAAAACA
This 856-nucleotide long non-coding RNA is filed under the name Fukomys damarensis (Damara mole-rat). Its description in RNAcentral is "lncRNA (ENSFDAG00000024613.1)". The record is from RNAcentral. Lineage: Eukaryota; Metazoa; Chordata; Mammalia; Rodentia; Bathyergidae.